GGGGCCUCCUGCAGGCUAGGCAAGCACUCAACCAUUGUGCUACACCCCUAGCCGGUGAUGGCUACUCUUAAAUAUACAGGAAAGGAAUGUUCUUACAUCCUAAGUGUCUGGGCUUGCUGGCAUCUGCCACCCUGUCCCGUCUCCCUGCAGCCCACGACUGCACAACUGGCCACUGGUACCUGUCCAACUGCGGGGCUGCCGAGCAACGUUUGACCUCCGUGAUCCAUCUCAAAAAUACGAGCUGGGCUGGAGGUUCCCUCUUUUGGGAGACCUUGAAACCAGGAGUCUGGAAGGAAUUUGCCAGUGAAAGGUGGGAGCAACAGACAGCAGCAGGGAGUCGGGGGUGCAGGCUGCAGCAUGGGGAGCAGCAGGGACCGGAUGCCGGGUGCCGGUGGCCUGGAAAGCAGAUCCUUACAGGGAUAGCUGGGUCAUAG
This 434-nucleotide long non-coding RNA is filed under the name Chinchilla lanigera (long-tailed chinchilla). RNAcentral describes it as "lncRNA (ENSCLAG00000025458.1)". The record is from RNAcentral. Lineage: Eukaryota; Metazoa; Chordata; Mammalia; Rodentia; Chinchillidae.